Long non-coding RNA from Erinaceus europaeus (western European hedgehog), 653 nucleotides. RefSeq lists it as uncharacterized. The record is from RefSeq and is a predicted model, not a curated record. The transcript is spliced from 3 exons. NCBI's taxonomy places the organism in Eukaryota, Metazoa, Chordata, Mammalia, Eulipotyphla, Erinaceidae.
UGUUGAAGGAGGCCCACUGUGACACCACUUCAGUGACCUUCCUUCUCUUGAGAAGCCAGUGUCAUCAGCACAGCCAGUGGAUUGGUCAGAGGAAAGAAUGGGAAUGAUUUCAGCAAAUAACAGCUCAUGUGCCUGCAUAUCAAUUCACAAAAACGAUUGGUCUUCCUGAGGACUGGAAGUGGCAUGAGCAGUAGAGCAACAAGGAAGCAGAGGGUAAUGUUCUUCUCCAUGCCUGGAAACUGACACCAAGAGGAAAUCUCCCCUUUCCUUCUGUGGGAUAGCAAAACACAUCCGUUUAUCUACAUCCUUGCCACUCUGAAUGGACCAGAUCUCAUGUAAAAACUGCAGCGACAGCAGGUUUCAGAGAGAAGAUUCCAUGAGUUGAGGUGAAGCGUAUGUGGCAAUGGGAUGAAAAGAUGGCUCCCAUAAGGAAGAGCAGGGCUGGUGCUUGGGAGAAGCGAGAAGGAUUAAGAGACUUCAUUGAUACCAGAACUGCUGCCAUGAAAUGUGUCUUCCUCAGUAGGCUGGCGGGUUCCCUAGAAAGGACAGGUGAACUCACACAGGGAAUAUGAACUCUCUCUAGCAAACUGUGUCCAUUUCUGUCUGGGGAGUUUUGAGUAGUGGCUGUUCAUGACACUGACUUAGGAAGGUUU